GUCCAAUGCUCUGCCAACUGAGCUACGAGGCCAACGUCAGUUCGAGUGUGUGGUAUUUCGGAACUACGUCUAGUACCUUCGAUACCAAUAACCAAUGUGUUCUAAUCUAUGAUCAUGAUUUUAGUAUUAUAUUACGUUAUAUUCACCUGAGUACAUAACACACUGAGCUAUACUACAUAACAUCAAAACACACGGCAAAAAUACUUCAUGUCUGCCUAUUAUUGUGUCCCGG
Non-coding RNA from Paramuricea clavata, 232 nucleotides. Lineage: Eukaryota; Metazoa; Cnidaria; Anthozoa; Malacalcyonacea; Plexauridae. The record is from the annotation of a GenBank genome assembly.